GUGGAGCUGCUGGGUGCGUCAGGUCAACAUCCCCAGGGCCAACUAGUACUCCCAGGGAGCUGGCUCUGAUGUGAUCUUGGUCACACUACCCGGUGCCCACCUGCUUACGCGGGCCUUGGGAGGAUGUAUAGCCAACGGCCAUGGCGGCUCCACA
RNAcentral lists this non-coding RNA (154 nucleotides) under Acetobacteraceae bacterium. RNAcentral describes it as "6S RNA". It matches the Rfam family "6S / SsrS RNA". Rfam says of the family: E. coli 6S RNA was the first non coding RNA to be sequenced, but its function was unknown until recently. The record is from RNAcentral. Lineage: Bacteria; Pseudomonadati; Pseudomonadota; Alphaproteobacteria; Acetobacterales; Acetobacteraceae.